This 467-nucleotide ribosomal RNA is filed under the name uncultured bacterium. RNAcentral's name for it is "partial 16S ribosomal RNA". It matches the Rfam family "Bacterial small subunit ribosomal RNA", at positions 28 to 506 of the family's 1533-position model. The record is from RNAcentral.
GACGAACGCUGGCGGCGUGCUUAACACAUGCCAGUCGAACGGAAAGGCCCUGCUUUUGUGGGGUGCUCGAGUGGCGAACGGGUGAGUAACACGUGAGUAACCUGCCCUUGACUUUGGGAUAACUUCAGGAAACUGGGGCUAAUACCGGAUAGGAGCUCCUGCUGCAUGGUGGGGGUUGGAAAGUUUCGGCGGUUGGGGAUGGACUCGCGGCUUAUCAGCUUGUUGGUGGGGUAGUGGCUUACCAAGGCUUUGACGGGUAGCCGGCCUGAGAGGGUGACCGGCCACAUUGGGACUGAGAUACGGCCCAGACUCCUACGGGAGGCAGCAGUGGGGAAUAUUGCACAAUGGGCGGAAGCCUGAUGCAGCAACGCCGCGUGCGGGAUGACGGCCUUCGGGUUGUAAACCGCUUUCGCCUGUGACGAAGCGUGAGUGACGGGAAUGGGUAAAGAAGCACCGGCUAACUACGU